Lotus japonicus is the source of this 2654-nucleotide long non-coding RNA. RefSeq lists it as uncharacterized. NCBI's taxonomy places the organism in Eukaryota, Viridiplantae, Streptophyta, Magnoliopsida, Fabales, Fabaceae. The record is from RefSeq and is a predicted model, not a curated record. The transcript is spliced from 5 exons.
AAUAAAGACCGUCUCAGAUUCUCGGCUACUUUUGGCACGUUUAUCUUUCGUUCCUCUUGUUCUCUCUCAACUUGGUCUUCCCGUGGUGCUUACUCUUCAGUCAUAACUUGCGAUCUCUCACUCUCUCAGUUUCAGAUAUCAAUACCAAACGGUUCUCGUAUUUAAUUUGUGCUUUCUGUUAUGUGAUCUGGAAUGCAAGGUUGACAAAAGAGAAACAAAGAAACAAUCUUAGCUGGGACUGGGAGUUCAUGUAUAUAUGUAAAAUUAAAGUUUAAGCCUUAAGUAUACAUAAAGUAAAUGCUUCAGGUAUUCGGUCAUGAACAAUCGUCUCUGGUUGAUUCAGGGUGUGAAAGCUUGUUGAUUCACGGAGUGAAAUUUGCUUCUUUUGAGACAAAUGUGAAGAUGAUCUAAAAGAUAAGCAUUCCCAACCCCUUCUGUAUUCAAUUGUUUCACACCCUGAUGACUUAACCUCUUUAUUUAGAACAUGAAAAUUUUCAAUUUAACUUCCUCUCGUCUUUAUGCUUGCACAACCUUUUCUGAUUUUCCAUUAUCACAUGAUUGUAGACUGUGAAAAUGAUCUUGCUCUUAAAAUAUAUUUUUUUCAAAAAUAAAAAUGAAUUUAUUCGUAAUAAUCUGAAGCUUGAGAAACACCCUUUCUCAAUUAAAAAAUAUAUAUCAAAGCCAAAAUAAGUAUUGUUUGGUCCCUUUGAUCUAGUGUUUAAGUUAUCGUACCCAAGGAACUUAGAUAUGAAAUUCUAAUUCUAAGAGAUGUGUUCAUUUUCUAGGCAAUUAAAGAGUUUAUUUAUUGAUUGUGAGCAUGCAUGUAAAUAAAGAAAACACAAAAUAUAAUUUUGAAAUUAGAUCAACCAGGUUACCUAGAUGUGACCAUCAAUAGGUGUGUUGGAGUGGAUAAGCAUGAAGUGCAGGGAAGCUACCUAAGGGAUGUUAACUAGUCCAUCACCUAACCGAAUUGGAAAUAUUUGAAAGGCUGUAAAUUGACACCUUAGCUAGAGGCGAGCUAAAAUACUACGGUUGAUCAAGUAGCAAUACAGAAAUCAGCGCAGAAAGUAAGCCCCAAUCAAUACUGAAACUAAUGCUAUAAAACUAAAAGCCGAGGUUCAUAUCAUCUUUUACAUCAUAAUCUUAUAAGAGGUUGCUUAGCUACUUAUCAUAAAAAUGAAGAACAAAACAAUUCUAAUCAUAGCUUGCAAAAUGAAAACAUGGGAGAAGAUUGCAUCUGGUGUAGUCUUUGCCUAAGCACCUCUUAAUCUACAGCCAAUGAACCCGCAAUAGGAUUUCGUCUCGUCUACGACCUUUCUAUUCGUGUGAUCUCGCUGAACUCAUUUUUUUUUUGUCAUGUCUUCUUUUAUAACUUAUUUUCACAACUUUUCGAGUAAGGGUUGUGAACGUCCGAACGUCGGUGAAUGCCACGCACUUCAACCGUGCUUCAUGACUGUGCCACUAUUACCAUGACCUUGCGCUCUCCUUGAUUGAUCACCGCAGUUGUGUCUACCAUCAACAUGCCCACUCUCUUGCCCUUUUUGUAACACGUUCAGCUUUUUGCUAUGUUUUCCAUGUUUUUUCUUUUUUUUCCAAUUUUUCACUCGAUUAUUCAAAAAAAAGAGUCACUUGAAACAUAGUUUAUUGCACAAUUAUCAUGAAAACCUGAGUUGUACAAAGAAAAGACAACGCAACUGUUUUUUUUUUUUUUUUCACUUUGAGCAGAAUAAAACGAUUCCUCAACAAGAAAAUGAGUAAAAACUGAGCUAAAAAAUAAUUGUAAGACAGUUAGAGCAAAAAUAACGUCGUCAUUUCAUCAUCGAGGGGCCACCGCUGGCGAACUCCCUGGCGGCGGAAGUCUCCUUUUCUUUUUCUGCCUCUUCUCCUGCUUUCACACUUUGAAUACUCGUACGUAAUAAUUGUUCAAUUACUUUGUCUCUUAAACAAGUUAAACACUUCUUUUCUUACAAGAUUGUCAAUAAUGUAUAUGCAGGUGGAGAUUUCACCGAGCAAUCAUCAUUGUCAGAUUGAGGGGCAAAAAAACGCAGUGUGUCAACACUCGUCAGUGGGGGUUUCGCCGUGCAAUCAUCACUGUCAGAUAGAGGGACAAAGAAACGCAAGAGUGUAUUUGCGGUAUGUGUGGCCAAUGCUCUCUAUGCCUGAAUGUUCGUAGUUUGUCAACGGCUAUCGUUUGCCUCAAGAUCAUAAGUGAAGACCAUCGACUUAGCUAGUUUUAGGGUAAGUUUACAUGAUUUGCUACACAACUUCGAACAAGAAGCUUUUAUGCAAGGACAACUGCGGAUCAGUGAAAGAGAAGAAGGACACAGAAUAUCCACAAGUCAAAGUUGACACAAUAUGAGAGAAGAUAAAAGAUGAAAGCGCAUAUAUAUCCCGCAAACGCUGGAAGUUUCACGAUGCAUGUGUUCCUUUUAUCGCAUCCAUAUGUUCAGUGUAUUAUAUAUAGUCAUGAGUUACACUACCUUGGCUAGCUUGUUCUUAUAUAGCUGGCUAGUACUAAUGAUAUAUGCUCUCUGCGUGGGAGAGAGACCACACGAUCCAUAUUGUUCAUGCAUUAGUGCAAUUAAGAAACAUAGUCGCAAUUAAUGCAAAGCACUUUAAUUACUUCCCGACAUAUAACAUCAAAUUCUGUUGCA